RNAcentral lists this ribosomal RNA (630 nucleotides) under Triticum aestivum (bread wheat). RNAcentral describes it as "partial small subunit ribosomal RNA". The record is from RNAcentral. Lineage: Eukaryota; Viridiplantae; Streptophyta; Magnoliopsida; Poales; Poaceae.
AUGAGGUGUCUUACGUCUGUUUCUUUUUCAAGAUUGCUCAAUGGUGGUAAGCUAGAUGAUUUCAGGCCUACACGGGGUCUCGGGCAGGAGGAUCCUAUAUCAUCAUAUCUGUUUCUAUUGGCGGCAGAAGGAUUAUCUUGUUUGUUGAAAGCAAAUGAAGCAAGUAAUUUGAUCAGGGAACUGAAAGUUGCAGCACAAGCACCCCAGGUGAAUCAUCUAUUGUUUGCUGACGACAGCUUAUUAUUUUUUGGUGCUACAAGGGAGGAGGCCGAACAGAUAAAGAAGUUAUUAGAGGUAUAUUGGGAGGCUUAUGGUCAGAAAAUUAAUAAUGACAAGUCUUCCAUCUUUUUUAGCAAGGGGGUUCCAAUAGAGACUAGGGAAGCUAUUAAAUUAAUGUUGCAAGUCCCUAACGAGACUUGGUCAGAAAAGUAUUUGGGCUUGCCUACGGAAGUUGGGUGCUCAAAAAAGGGAACCUUCCAGUUCUUAAAAGAUAGAUUAUGGGCUCGAAUGCAAGGAUGGAUCGAGAAGUGUUUGUCUACUUCAGGGAAAGAGGCCCUCGUGAAGUCUGUUGCACAAGCAAUCCCGACAUUCUUGAUGUCAUAUUUUAAACUUCUUCGCAGGCCUAUGUGA